CUACGGGUUGCAGCAGUGGGGAAUAUUGGACAAUGGGGGAAACCCUGAUCCAGCAAUGCCGCGUGUGUGAAGAAGGCCUGCGGGUUGUAAAGCACUUUCGGUUGGGAGGACUGCUUCUAGCACUAAUAUUGUUGGAAGUUGACGUUACCUUCAGAAGAAGCACCGGCUAACUCCGUGCCAGCAGCCGCGGUAAUACGGAGGGUGCACGCGUUAAUCGGAAUUACUGGGCGUAAAGCGCGCGUAGGCGGCUAGAUCAGUCGGGUGUGAAAGCCCCGGGCUUAACCUGGGAACUGCAUCCGAUACUGUCUAGCUUGAGUACAGGAGAGGAGAGUGGAAUUCCACAUGUAGCGGUGAAAUGCGUAGAUACGUGGAGGAACACCAAUGGCGAAGGCAGCUCUCUGGCCUGAUACUGACGCUGAGGUGCGAAAGCGUGGGGAGCAAACAGGAUUAGAUACCCGGGUAGUC
This 465-nucleotide ribosomal RNA is filed under the name uncultured bacterium. Its description in RNAcentral is "partial 16S ribosomal RNA". It matches the Rfam family "Bacterial small subunit ribosomal RNA", at positions 339 to 795 of the family's 1533-position model. The record is from RNAcentral.